Transfer RNA from Intoshia linei, 72 nucleotides. It matches the Rfam family "tRNA". From Rfam's summary of the family: Transfer RNA (tRNA) molecules are approximately 80 nucleotides in length. Their secondary structure includes four short double-helical elements and three loops (D, anti-codon, and T loops). Lineage: Eukaryota; Metazoa; Orthonectida; Rhopaluridae. The record is from Rfam.
GCCGGGUUAGCUCAGUGGGAGAGCGUUAGACUGAAGAUCUACAGGUCCGUGGUUCGAUCCCGCGACUCGGCA